Molecule: long non-coding RNA, 506 nt
Organism: Syngnathus typhle (broad-nosed pipefish)
Lineage: Eukaryota; Metazoa; Chordata; Actinopteri; Syngnathiformes; Syngnathidae
Exons: 3
Source: RefSeq, a predicted model, not a curated record
AGGUAUUGCUGUAUUCAAAUCAUACUGGUCAAAUUUCUGUUUUCCUUUGGUCAAAUUAUGUUAUCUGGUUUUCUUGUGUCCACUUUUUUCUUCAAGGUAUAUGAUGGUGAAACGAAAAACCAGGACGGAAACGGAUUCCUUCUUUAUCAGGACUUCGCCGCCACAACUUUCGCAUUCCCCGUCACCUGACCCCUACUAACCAAUCAGAUUCUGUCUGCGUGGGCCAGGCUGCCCGAUUGGACAUCAUGAGCCUCCCCACACUUGUGGUGGCAUUGGCGCUGACGUUGUGCGCCUGGAUUACGCUUUGUGGAGACAUUUCGUGCGAUUCCGGAUGGGAGGUGUUCGGCUCCAGCUGCUACAAGAAGAUGCCAGCCACCAACGGUUGGCUGGGGGCUCGUUUACACUGCGCCCUGGAGGGCGGCGACCUGGUCUCCUUCAACUCAUUGGCCGAGGAAGAUUUUGUGAAGGGCAAAAUGGGGGUAGACCCGUUCUGGAUCGGACUCUCC